UACGUAGGGUGCAAGCGUUGUCCGGAAUUAUUGGGCGUAAAGAGCUCGUAGGCGGUUUGUCGCGUCUGCUGUGAAAAUCCAGGGCUUAACCCUGGACCUGCAGUGGGUACGGGCAGACUAGAGUGCGGUAGGGGAGAUCGGAAUUCCUGGUGUAGCGGUGAAAUGCGUAGAUAUCUGGAGGAACACCGGUGGCGAAGGCGGCUCUCUGGACCGAUACUGACGCUGAGGCGCGAAAGCGUGGGGAGCAAACAGG
Molecule: ribosomal RNA, 253 nt
Filed under: uncultured bacterium
Lineage: Bacteria
Description: partial 16S ribosomal RNA
Rfam family: Bacterial small subunit ribosomal RNA
Source: RNAcentral